Molecule: ribosomal RNA, 864 nt
Filed under: Salmonella enterica subsp. enterica
Lineage: Bacteria; Pseudomonadati; Pseudomonadota; Gammaproteobacteria; Enterobacterales; Enterobacteriaceae
Description: bacterial LSU rRNA
Rfam family: Bacterial large subunit ribosomal RNA
Source: RNAcentral
UAUCCUGUCUGAAUAUGGGGGGACCAUCCUCCAAGGCUAAAUACUCCUGACUGACCGAUAGUGAACCAGUACCGUGAGGGAAAGGCGAAAAGAACCCCGGCGAGGGGAGUGAAAAAGAACCUGAAACCGUGUACGUACAAGCAGUGGGAGCACCCUUCGGGGUGUGACUGCGUACCUUUUGUAUAAUGGGUCAGCGACUUAUAUUCUGUAGCAAGGUUAACCGAAUAGGGGAGCCGGAGGGAAACCGAGUCUUAACCGGGCGUUAAGUUGCAGGGUAUAGACCCGAAACCCGGUGAUCUAGCCAUGGGCAGGUUGAAGGUUGGGUAACACUAACUGGAGGACCGAACCGACUAAUGUUGAAAAAUUAGCGGAUGACCUGUGGCUGGGGGUGAAAGGCCAAUCAAACCGGGAGAUAGCUGGUUCUCCCCGAAAGCUAUUUAGGUAGCGCCUCGUGAAUUCAUCUCCGGGGGUAGAGCACUGUUUCGGCUAGGGGGCCAUCCCGGCUUACCAACCCGAUGCAAACUGCGAAUACCGGAGAAUGUUAUCACGGGAGACACACGGCGGGUGCUAACGUCCGUCGUGAAGAGGGAAACAACCCAGACCGCCAGCUAAGGUCCCAAAGUCAUGGUUAAGUGGGAAACGAUGUGGGAAGGCCCAGACAGCCAGGAUGUUGGCUUAGAAGCAGCCAUCAUUUAAAGAAAGCGUAAUAGCUCACUGGUCGAGUCGGCCUGCGCGGAAGAUGUAACGGGGCUAAACCAUGCACCGAAGCUGCGGCAGCGACACUGUGUGUUGUUGGGUAGGGGAGCGUUCUGUAAGCCUGUGAAGGUGUGUCGUGAGGCAUGCUGGAGGUAUCAGAAGUGCGAA